GUUGUAAGGGGGUGGUCCCUUGGCAUGGCCUUGGAUGUGGCCGGGCCAGGCUCCCGGGGUCCCCUCUCGUGGUUUAUUCUAGCCCUAUCGCUUUCGUUCCUCCCGCUGUCUCCGGCCCCGCCCCUUAUAUAGUGUGGGGCACCAUCGGCGUGGAUGGCCCCACCUUCUAUGUCGGGCAGGAUGCCAUGCCCUUGCUUAGCCCCGCCUCCUCCCAGCUGCGCUGCUACUGCCAAGCAGGCAAGGCAAUGGGUCGGGCCUGCCUCCCAUUAGGCGUACCAGGUCGUGGAGGGUUCUGAGGCCCCCCAGAACACCGGCGCCCCGUCACAACAGUGAAUAUAGAUUCAAAUGAGUGGCCAGAAAUCCAAGUAUCAAGACAGUAUUUUCUCACCCUAUUGUGUAACAUCCACUGGAUUUCAACCUUUUUUCAUUGGCGGACCCCUAAAAACAUUCCGAAGGAGGUGGUAUGGACCCUUUUAGAAAUCUUAAGAGGCUCUAUGGACCACAGGUUGAAAAGCACUGGUCUACACGUAUACUUUGUUUGAGAGAGAGACUCACUCACUCUUUUUUCUUUCCUCCUUCCUUCUCUUUUGCUCUGUUUUUAUAUCAUUUUCCCAGACUGUUGCAGAGAUGUGUAUGGUAAUGCUGGCUGUGCUUGCAAUUUAACACGAAGUCUGGAGUAGGAGGUGCUUUCAGGACAACAAAAAUCCC
Pelodiscus sinensis (Chinese soft-shelled turtle) is the source of this 708-nucleotide non-coding RNA. The record is from RefSeq and is a predicted model, not a curated record. NCBI's taxonomy places the organism in Eukaryota, Metazoa, Chordata, Testudines, Trionychidae.